This 75-nucleotide small RNA is filed under the name Salmonella enterica. RNAcentral's name for it is "partial RtT sRNA". It matches the Rfam family "RtT RNA", at positions 57 to 130 of the family's 130-position model. From Rfam's summary of the family: This family represents a bacterial cis-regulatory element known as RtT RNA. The exact function of RtT is unknown although it is thought that it may be involved in changing the cellular response in relation to amino acid starvation. The record is from RNAcentral. RNAcentral also lists the same sequence under 1 other name. Lineage: Bacteria; Pseudomonadati; Pseudomonadota; Gammaproteobacteria; Enterobacterales; Enterobacteriaceae.
GCGAGAAAGCGUUGCCGCAGGCAACGACCCGAAGGGCGAAGCGCGUAGCGCUGAGUCAUCCUUCUCCCACCACCA